RNAcentral lists this ribosomal RNA (482 nucleotides) under uncultured bacterium. RNAcentral's name for it is "partial 16S ribosomal RNA". It matches the Rfam family "Bacterial small subunit ribosomal RNA", at positions 30 to 507 of the family's 1533-position model. The record is from RNAcentral.
AUUGAACGCUGGCGGCAUGCUUUACACAUGCAAGUCGAACGGUAACAGGCCGCAAGGUGCUGACGAGUGGCGGACGGGUGCGUAAUGCAUCGGAACGUGCCCCGUCGUGGGGGAUAACUACUCGAAAGAGUAGCUAAUACCGCAUACGAUCUAUGGAUGAAAGCGGGGGACCGUAAUGCCUCGCGCGAUUGGAGCGGCCGAUGUCAGAUUAGGUAGUUGGUGGGGUAAAGGCUCACCAAGCCAACGAUCUGUAGCUGGUCUGAGAGGACGACCAGCCACACUGGGACUGAGACACGGCCCAGACUCCUACGGGAGGCAGCAGUGGGGAAUUUUGGACAAUGGGCGCAAGCCUGAUCCAGCAAUGCCGCGUGCAGGAAGAAGGCCUUCGGGUUGUAAACUGCUUUUGUACGGAACGAAACGGCUCUGGUUAAUACCCGGGGCUAAUGACGGUACCGUAAGAAUAAGCACCGGCUAACUACGUG